Thunnus maccoyii (southern bluefin tuna) is the source of this 252-nucleotide long non-coding RNA. RefSeq lists it as uncharacterized. The transcript is spliced from 3 exons. The record is from RefSeq and is a predicted model, not a curated record. Lineage: Eukaryota; Metazoa; Chordata; Actinopteri; Scombriformes; Scombridae.
GCUACUAUGAUUAGACAAAGAUGAGAACAGGGCGUCCUUUCGGAGACCUUUGUUUUGGAGCUCCGACUGCAGUGGAAAUUCCUCAUCUAUGUGUUGCAACACCUCCCGCUGCCUCAGCAUCAGCUUAUCCUGUCUCCUGGUCUGAGCCUCCUCCAGCUGCAGUGAGACAGUGACUUCUGGGUCCGAGUUCCUCCUGUCCCAGCCAAGGUGAACAGCAGCACUUACUUCUCGCACGUCUCCCUGAGCUUCUUG